AACGAACGUUAGCGGCGCGCCUAACACAUGCAAGUCGCACGAGAAAGGGCUUCGGCCCCAGUAAAGUGGCGCACGGGUGAGUAACACGUGGGUAACCUUCCCUUGAGCGGGGGAUAACAUUCCGAAAGGAGUGCUAAUACCGCAUAAGACCACGGCCUCGAAAGAGGCUGAGGUCAAAGCAGGCCUCUUCAUGAAAGCUUGCACUCGAGGAUGGGCCCGCGUCCCAUCAGCUAGUUGGUAGGGUAAUGGCCUACCAAGGCGAAGACGGGUAGCUGGUCUGAGAGGAUGAUCAGCCACACUGGAACUGAGACACGGUCCAGACUCCUACGGGAGGCAGCAGUGGGGAAUCUUGCGCAAUGGACGAAAGUCUGACGCAGCGACGCCGCGUGGGUGAUGAAGGCCUUCGGUUGUAAGCCUCGUGGGAGAGAGAAUUAGUACUGGCUAACAUCCAGUAUGAUGACGGUAGUCUCCUUAGUCAAGCACCGGCU
This 488-nucleotide ribosomal RNA is filed under the name uncultured bacterium. Its description in RNAcentral is "bacterial SSU rRNA". It matches the Rfam family "Bacterial small subunit ribosomal RNA", at positions 29 to 498 of the family's 1533-position model. The record is from RNAcentral.